RNAcentral lists this transfer RNA (76 nucleotides) under Pseudomonas aeruginosa. Its description in RNAcentral is "tRNA-Met". It matches the Rfam family "tRNA". Rfam says of the family: Transfer RNA (tRNA) molecules are approximately 80 nucleotides in length. Their secondary structure includes four short double-helical elements and three loops (D, anti-codon, and T loops). The record is from RNAcentral. Lineage: Bacteria; Pseudomonadati; Pseudomonadota; Gammaproteobacteria; Pseudomonadales; Pseudomonadaceae.
CGCUGGGUGGAGCAGUUGGCAGCUCGUCGGGCUCAUAACCCGAAGGUCGUAGGUUCAAGUCCUGCCUCCGCAACCA